CAAAAUGUAAAAAAGAGCUAGAGAUGUAGCUCAGAGGUGAGGUGCUCCUGGGUUCAAUCCCCGGUAACAACCCCCCUCCUCCAAAAAAAAAAAAAAAAAAUUUGCAGAAGGCCUGUCUAGAGGAAUUUCAAGUAUCCAUCACUGUCAGUUCCUGCCCUGGACCAUAAAAUCCCAGCAGAAGUCCAUUGGUUCAAAUGGAUGACUGAGUCAGUAUAGUUUGCAGUAGUUCUUCCUUCUUUUCUUAACCUUUUUUCAUCUCUUAUUUUUUUAAAUCUACAAAAACUGUCAUUUUGAAGUAAACAAAAACAGGAAAAAUUGCAUGAUGAACUCCAUGUACACAUCACUCAACUUCCCAACUGUCAUUCACAGCCAGUCACUUCCACCACCCUGACUGCCCCACUUCUGCUGCACUAUUGUGAGGGCUCGGAGGUAAAUCUCAGAUGUCAUAUAAUUUCUCCUAUAGUUAUUUCAGCAUAUGUCUCUAAAAGAUGUGAGCUCUUUUAUAGAAUGACCACAAUACCUUUACCACUCAUGAAAAUAUUGAUAUUAAUUCCUUACUAUCAUCAAUUAUUCAGGUUUAAAUUCCCUGUUAUUUACCAUUGGUUGUUUGAGUCAAGAUUUGUACAAGGUCUAAAUGUUGCAUUUCAUAGAUAUAUUUUAAUCUAGAAAUGUCUUUCUCUUUUAUUUACUGAAAUCAGAUCACUAGUCCUAUAGAGUCUGGGUUUUGCUGACUUUUUCUCCUUUGGUGGUGUUUAAUAAGUUCUUCUGUUCCCUGUACUUUCUGUAAGCUAAUUUUUUUUUUUCAAAAAUGCUUCAUAGAUGCCUUGUAUAUUUU
This 835-nucleotide long non-coding RNA is filed under the name Marmota monax (woodchuck). The record is from RNAcentral. Lineage: Eukaryota; Metazoa; Chordata; Mammalia; Rodentia; Sciuridae.